RNAcentral lists this ribosomal RNA (257 nucleotides) under Serratia marcescens. RNAcentral's name for it is "partial 23S ribosomal RNA". It matches the Rfam family "Bacterial large subunit ribosomal RNA", at positions 566 to 824 of the family's 2925-position model. The record is from RNAcentral. Lineage: Bacteria; Pseudomonadati; Pseudomonadota; Gammaproteobacteria; Enterobacterales; Yersiniaceae.
GUACAAGCAGUGGGAGCACCUUCGUGGUGUGACUGCGUACCUUUUGUAUAAUGGGUCAGCGACUUAUAUUUUGUAGCAAGGUUAACCGUAUAGGGGAGCCGUAGGGAAACCGAGUCUUAACUGGGCGAUUAGUUGCAAGGUAUAGACCCGAAACCCGGUGAUCUAGCCAUGGGCAGGUUGAAGGUUGGGUAACACUAACUGGAGGACCGAACCGACUAAUGUUGAAAAAUUAGCGGAUGACUUGUGGCUGGGGGUGA